UUAAAUUGAAGAGUUUGAUCAUGGCUCAGAUUGAACGCUGGCGGCAGGCCUAACACAUGCAAGUCGAACGGUAACAGGAAGCAGCUUGCUGCUUCGCUGACGAGUGGCGGACGGGUGAGUAAUGUCUGGGAAACUGCCUGAUGGAGGGGGAUAACUACUGGAAACGGUAGCUAAUACCGCAUAAUGUCGCAAGACCAAAGAGGGGGACCUUCGGGCCUCUUGCCAUCGGAUGUGCCCAGAUGGGAUUAGCUUGUUGGUGGGGUAACGGCUCACCAAGGCGACGAUCCUUAGCUGGUCUGAGAGGAUGAC
Molecule: ribosomal RNA, 309 nt
Filed under: Escherichia coli
Lineage: Bacteria; Pseudomonadati; Pseudomonadota; Gammaproteobacteria; Enterobacterales; Enterobacteriaceae
Description: bacterial SSU rRNA
Rfam family: Bacterial small subunit ribosomal RNA
Source: RNAcentral